Molecule: non-coding RNA, 73 nt
Filed under: uncultured Pantoea sp.
Lineage: Bacteria; Pseudomonadati; Pseudomonadota; Gammaproteobacteria; Enterobacterales; Erwiniaceae
Description: TPP riboswitch (THI element)
Rfam family: TPP riboswitch aptamer (THI element)
About the family: Vitamin B(1) in its active form thiamin pyrophosphate (TPP) is an essential coenzyme that is synthesised by coupling of pyrimidine and thiazole moieties in bacteria.
Source: RNAcentral
UCAACGGGGUGCCUGCAAAAGGCUGAGAGAAACCCGUCGAACCUGAUUCGGUUAAUACCGACGUAGGGAUUUG